This 736-nucleotide long non-coding RNA is filed under the name Rattus norvegicus (Norway rat). RNAcentral's name for it is "long non-coding RNA NONRATT013406". Lineage: Eukaryota; Metazoa; Chordata; Mammalia; Rodentia; Muridae. The record is from RNAcentral.
GUCUUCCAGCACUGGCGUUAUCACUUCAUUUGUUCACCCAGCUUUUAGCAUGAGUUCUGGGGAUGUGAACUCAUACUUUAUGUGUGUGCAGCAAGCACUACAUCAACUGAGCCAUCCUCCAAGCACACAAAGAAGUGAAUUUCCUAAUGAUUUGCUUUCAAGCACAAUCUUUGGCCAGUAUGGCCAGUACAAAGAGUCCUUCAUUCUUGGAAAGGUGGAACUUGCAAAAGUAACAUCAGACAUUCAUAUCCUAAAGUGAAGAAAAUCGUAAUUUACUUCACUCCAAUUCUAAGGGUAACAGUGAUGCAGAAAGGAAUCUGGUACCAGUUGGUUAUUUUGUCAGCUUGAAUCAUCCGGUAAACAAGAAUGCCAGCUCUAGGUACUUAAUCCUGAUAUAUAUAUCAAGAUGGCAAAGAUGAGCAAACCAGUCCAGAGUUCCUUCAGAUGGACAAAGUACACUUGUGCAAAGGGUCUGACAGGAAGGGAAUGAAGCUUAUCCAGGAACGUAGGUUGCACAGAACCUUGGUCAAUGAUAGCGUGGUUGAACAACAGACAACAUUAAAUGUCUCUGUAUCUCUAUAAUUCUUCUGGAGCAGAAGGAUCUGUACUCAAAUUGGAGAGUCUCUAGUGGUAUGAUGAUUAUCAGAACCACAGGCUGACAGUUCCAAAAAUAUCCAUUUGUAUGAGUCUUCGAAAAUGUUUGGAGGAAUGUGAGAAUGAAGUUUAGACCUUAACU